This 740-nucleotide ribosomal RNA is filed under the name Odobenus rosmarus rosmarus (Atlantic walrus). RNAcentral's name for it is "partial 16S ribosomal RNA". It matches the Rfam family "Bacterial large subunit ribosomal RNA", at positions 1807 to 2853 of the family's 2925-position model. Lineage: Eukaryota; Metazoa; Chordata; Mammalia; Carnivora; Odobenidae. The record is from RNAcentral.
CCAAAAACAUCACCUCUAGCAUUACUAGUAUUAGAGGCACUGCCUGCCCAGUGACACGAGUUAAACGGCCGCGGUAUUCUGACCGUGCAAAGGUAGCAUAAUCAUUUGUUCUAUAAAUAAGGACUUGUAUGAAUGGCCACACGAGGGUUCUACUGUCUCUUACUUCCAAUCGGUGAAAUUGACCUUCCCGUGAAGAGGCGGGAAUAUAACAAUAAGACGAGAAGACCCUAUGGAGCUUUAAUUAACUAACCCAAUAGAAUUUAUUCAAUUAACCAAUAUGGGACAAAGUAAUUCUACAGUGGGACAGCAAUUUAGGUUGGGGCGACCUCGGAGUAUAGCACAACCCCCGAGUGAUAUAAAUCUAGACAUACCUGUCAAAACGAACUAUCAUAAAUUGAUCCAAAAAUUUUUGAUCAACGGAACAAGUUACCCUAGGGAUAACAGCGCAAUCCUAUUCAAGAGUUCAUAUCGACAAUAGGGUUUACGACCUCGAUGUUGGAUCAGGACAUCCCAAUGGUGCAGCAGCUAUUAAAGGUUCGUUUGUUCAACGAUUAAAGUCCUACGUGAUCUGAGUUCAGACCGGAGUAAUCCAGGUCGGUUUCUAUCUAUUAACCAGUCUCUCCCAGUACGAAAGGACAAGAGAGACAAGGCCCACUUCGACGAAGCGCCUUAGGACUAAUAUAUGACAUAAUCUUAAUAUAACCAGUUCAACUACACUAUUUAACCCGAGAACAGGGUUU